UGGCUCAGGACGAACGCUGGCGGCAUGCCUAACACAUGCAAGUCGAACGGAAGUAGAAAUACUUUAGUGGCGAACGGGUGAGUAACACGUGAGCAACCUGCCUUACACACAGGGAUAACAGUUGGAAACGACUGCUAAUACCGGAUAAGACCACACUAUGGCAUCAUAGAGGGGUCAAAGUGAUUUAGCGGUGUAAGAUGGGCUCGCGUCCAAUUAGCUAGUUGGUGAGGUAACGGCCCACCAAGGCGACGAUUGGUAGCCGACUUGAGAGAGUGAUCGGCCACACUGGAACUGAGACACGGUCCAGACUCCUACGGGAGGCAGCAGUGGGGAAUAUUGGGCAAUGGAGGAAACUCUUACCCAAGCAAUGCCGCGUGAGUGAUGAAGGUCUUUGGAUUGUAAAGCUCUUUGAUUGGGGACGAAUAAAUGACGGUACCCAAAGAACAAGCCCCGGCUAACUAUGUGCCAGCCGCCGC
Molecule: ribosomal RNA, 476 nt
Filed under: uncultured bacterium
Lineage: Bacteria
Description: bacterial SSU rRNA
Rfam family: Bacterial small subunit ribosomal RNA
Source: RNAcentral